GACGAACGCUGGCGGCGUGCUUAACACAUGCAAGUCGAACGGAAAGGCCCUGCUUUUGUGGGGUGCUCGAGUGGCGAACGGGUGAGUAACACGUGAGUAACCUGCCCUUGACUUUGGGAUAACUUCAGGAAACUGGGGCUAAUACCGGAUAGGAGCUCCUGCUGCAUGGUGGGGGUUGGAAAGUUUCGGCGGUUGGGGAUGGACUCGCGGCUUAUCAGCUUGUUGGUGGGGUAGUGGCUUACCAAGGCUUUGACGGGUAGCCGGCCUGAGAGGGUGACCGGGCACAUUGGGACUGAGAUACGGCCCAGACUCCUACGGGAGGCAGCAGUGGGGAAUAUUGCACAAUGGGCGGAAGCCUGAUGCAGCAACGCCGCGUGCGGGAUGACGGCCUUCGGGUUGUAAACCGCUUUCGCCUGUGACGAAGCGUGAGUGACGAUAAUGGGUAAAGAAGCACCGACUAACUACGUG
This 468-nucleotide ribosomal RNA is filed under the name uncultured bacterium. RNAcentral describes it as "partial 16S ribosomal RNA". It matches the Rfam family "Bacterial small subunit ribosomal RNA", at positions 28 to 507 of the family's 1533-position model. The record is from RNAcentral.